AGUCGAGCGGACAGAUGGGAGCUUGCUCCCUGAUGUUAGCGGCGGACGGGUGAGUAACACGUGGGUAACCUGCCUGUAAGACUGGGAUAACUCCGGGAAACCGGGGCUAAUACCGGAUGGUUGUUUGAACCGCAUGGUUCAAACAUAAAAGGUGGCUUCGGCUACCACUUACAGAUGGACCCGCGGCGCAUUAGCUAGUUGGUGAGGUAACGGCUCACCAAGGCAACGAUGCGUAGCCGACCUGAGAGGGUGAUCGGCCACACUGGGACUGAGACACGGCCCAGACUCCUACGGGAGGCAGCAGUAGGGAAUCUUCCGCAAUGGACGAAAGUCUGACGGAGCAACGCCGCGUGAGUGAUGAAGGUUUUCGGAUCGUAAAGCUCUGUUGUUAGGGAAGAACAAGUACCGUUCGAAUAGGGCGGUACCUUGACGGUACCUAACCAGAAAGCCACGGCUAACUACGUGCCAGCAGCCGCGGUAAUACGUAGGUGGCAAGCGUUGUCCGGAAUUAUUGGGCGUAAAGGGCUCGCAGGCGGUUUCUUAAGUCUGAUGUGAAAGCCCCCGGCUCAACCGGGGAGGGUCAUUGGAAACUGGGGAACUUGAGUGCAGAAGAGGAGAGUGGAAUUCCACGUGUAGCGGUGAAAUGCGUAGAGAUGUGGAGGAACACCAGUGGCGAAGGCGACUCUCUGGUCUGUAACUGACGCUGAGGAGCGAAAGCGUGGGGAGCGAACAGGAUUAGAUACCCUGGUAGUC
Molecule: ribosomal RNA, 753 nt
Filed under: Bacillus subtilis
Lineage: Bacteria; Bacillati; Bacillota; Bacilli; Caryophanales; Bacillaceae
Description: bacterial SSU rRNA
Rfam family: Bacterial small subunit ribosomal RNA
Source: RNAcentral